ACUGCAAGUCGUACGAUGACCCCGUGCUUGCACGGGUGAUUAGUGGCGAACGGGUGAGUAACACGUGAGUAACCUGCCCCUGACUCUGGGAUAAGCCCGGGAAACUGGGUCUAAUACUGGAUAUGACCUUUAACCGCAUGGUUUUUGGUGGAAAGAUUUAUCGGUUGGGGAUGGACUCGCGGCCUAUCAGCUUGUUGGUGAGGUAAUGGCUCACCAAGGCGACGACGGGUAGCCGGCCUGAGAGGGUGACCGGCCACACUGGGACUGAGACACGGCCCACACUCCUACGGGAGGCAGCAGUGGGGAAUAUUGCACAAUGGGCGAAAGCCUGAUGCACGCGCCGCGUGAGGGAUGACGGCCUUCGGGUUGUAAACUCUUUCAUGGGAAGAGCGAAGUGACGGUACCUGCCAAGAACGCCGGCUCCUACGUGCCCCAGCCGCGGUAAUACGUAGGGCGCAGCGUUUCCGGAUUUAUUGGGCGUAAGAGCUCGUAGGCUGCUUGUCGCGUCUGCGUGAAAUCCGAGGCUCACCUCGGAUCUGCGGUGGGUCGGGCGACUACAGUGAUGUAGGGAGACUGGAGUUCUGGUGUACGAUGAAUGCCAGAUUCAUGAGGACACGAUGGCGACGCAGGGUCUGGGCUCUCUGACCUUAGGACGAAGCAUGGGAGCAACAGAUAGAUCCCUGUAGUCCUGCGUAACUUGGCACUAGUGUGGGAAAUUCACGUUUCCCGCUAGCUAAGCUUAGUGCCCGCUGGGAUACGCCGUAGCUAACUCAAUGAUUACGGGAAGCGAUUCGUUAACUGCAGAUAUCCUUAGGAUGUAAUCGACUGUGAU
RNAcentral lists this ribosomal RNA (832 nucleotides) under uncultured Actinomycetes bacterium. RNAcentral describes it as "bacterial SSU rRNA". It matches the Rfam family "Bacterial small subunit ribosomal RNA", at positions 53 to 873 of the family's 1533-position model. Lineage: Bacteria; Bacillati; Actinomycetota; Actinomycetes. The record is from RNAcentral.